GUCAACUACUGGCAGCGCGCCGCGUGAUGACGGAGGGGCGGGGCGUUGUCCGGAAUUAUUGGGCGUAAAGGGCUCGUAGGCGGUUGGUCACGUCGGGAGGGAAAACUCAGGGCUCAACCCUGAGCGUGCUUCCGAUACGGGCCGACUAGAGGUAUGCAGGGGAGAACGGAAUUCCUGGUGUAGCGGUGGAAUGCGCAGAUAUCAGGAGGAACACCGGUGGCGAAGGCGGUUCUCUGGGCAUUACCUGACGCUGAGGAGCGAAAGCAUGGGGAGCGAACAGGAUUAGAUACCCCGGUAGUC
RNAcentral lists this ribosomal RNA (300 nucleotides) under uncultured Desulfurococcus sp. Its description in RNAcentral is "bacterial SSU rRNA". It matches the Rfam family "Bacterial small subunit ribosomal RNA", at positions 496 to 795 of the family's 1533-position model. Lineage: Archaea; Thermoproteati; Thermoproteota; Thermoprotei; Desulfurococcales; Desulfurococcaceae. The record is from RNAcentral.